CCGAUACGUUUGUAUUUAUUCCACAGGGCGAAAAUGACGAGAAGAAUAAUUCGGAAGGAAGAAUAAGAAGCCAGUUGUCAGGUCUUGUCUUAGCCCCUCAUUAACUGGUAAUGUCAAAACGAAAUCGCAUGAAAAUAUUUGAAACUGGCAUCACAAGUUGAUAAAUUAUUGACUUGGAAUAACAGUUACCUUGGUUACGCAUUUUAUACUGAUAGCCAAAGAGAAAGGCAACAUUUCGAUCGUAGCGGACAUUGUGACGACACCACCUACUGCUGAAUUAGACCCGUUGUAGAUUAAUAGCUCGGCUCAAACCAACGAGGAGAACAUGGGAAUGAUGCAAGGAGCUAUGCGCACUGCUGUCCCUAUAUAAUGUUCGGCGAAUAUAUUUCUUUGGGGAGGAUUCUAUCAACAAUCUUCGAAUAAGGGUAAACUACCUGCUACGCAAUGGGAAACGGUAAAACUACAAAUUUGGAUCUCCGAACACAAAGUGUCUGUCGUUUAUGUCAUCGGGACGGAUCAUUGGUUGAGUCUUCCAACUACGAUGAAUAGAAUUCCAUUCGGAAUACCGAAGCAAGUAGUGUUUCAAGACGCUCAUAGACGAUGACAAUCUGCAGAUUUCGUCUGCAAAGCUUUCACUCAAUGCAAAGUAUAUUUGGCGGAAAUGUUGGUUGACACAUUGAAACUGGAUACUACUGUAAUGAUAAAUGUUUCGGUUGGUUUAUGAUUUUGUUGAUUGUUGAUUCAAUAAAAUUUCGAAAAUCGAGUUCAUUUAAAUGUAA
Molecule: long non-coding RNA, 779 nt
Organism: Malaya genurostris
Lineage: Eukaryota; Metazoa; Arthropoda; Insecta; Diptera; Culicidae
Exons: 2
Source: RefSeq, a predicted model, not a curated record